RNAcentral lists this transfer RNA (536 nucleotides) under Dichelobacter nodosus. The stretch from base 49 to 122 matches the Rfam family "tRNA". The record is from RNAcentral. Lineage: Bacteria; Pseudomonadati; Pseudomonadota; Gammaproteobacteria; Cardiobacteriales; Cardiobacteriaceae.
AAAGAGAAGUUACAAGACACUCGCACAAACUAUCUUAUGACGCUACAAGGGUCUGUAGCUCAGUUGGUUAGAGCGCACCCCUGAUAAGGGUGAGGUCAGAGGUUCAAGUCCUCUCAGACCCACCAAAGAAGAGAAGCUUAUCGGGGCCAUAGCUCAGCUGGGAGAGCGCCUGUUUUGCACGCAGGAGGUCAGGAGUUCGAUCCUCCUUGGCUCCACCAAUUAAGUAGAAAAGAGCAGACGUAGCGGAAUGUUGAAAGAAGAAACAAGUAUCUGAAGAAGAGAACAAAUAAUGAAAAUUGUGUUAUCGGCGUUGGAAGUCGAUGAGAUAGUGUUCAUUGGUUUGUUAUCUUAAGGAUAACGAUCUUUAAAAACUGGGAAAUUCAAUUUAAAUCAACUAAAUUGAGAAAGCUGAGAAACAAACAAGCGUUGUUACUUAUGUUUUCAAGAGAAACAGCGAUCGCAAAAGAUCUUGAUAAGACGAUGAUGAUCAUCGAAUAGAUGGUUAUAGUUGUUAAAGAGAUAAUUUGAGGUUGUAU